This 254-nucleotide long non-coding RNA is filed under the name Linum usitatissimum (flax). RNAcentral describes it as "long non-coding RNA (LUSI_LNC002116)". The record is from RNAcentral. Lineage: Eukaryota; Viridiplantae; Streptophyta; Magnoliopsida; Malpighiales; Linaceae.
UGAAGUAGUCGGUUUUCUUCGCGACUUCAUCGAUCUUCUUCUGUGGUGCAUCGACGAUGGGAGGUAGGAGACCUGCCAUUGCUGCAGCUGAUGGUGGCUAAGCUUUGAAUUGAAUCGGAGAAGUAACGGCGGCGAGAGAGCGGCGCAGCGAAUGGAGAACGACGGACUGAUAAAAAAUAGAGGCGAGCUGGAGCUGGGGUUUAGGUUUGGGGAGGUUUUUGCCUUUUAUGGGAGGGUCUUAACCUUUCUUUUCU